CCUACGGGUGGCAGCAGUGGGGGAUAUUGCACAAUGGGGGGAACCCUGAUGCAGCGACGCCGCGUGGGUGAAGAAGCACCUCGGCGCGUAAAGCCCUGUCAGCAGGGAAGAAAAUGACGGUACCUGAAGAAGAAGCCCCGGCUAACUACGUGCCAGCAGCCGCGGUAAUACGUAGGAUGCGAGCGUUAUCCGGAUUUAUUGGGUUUAAAGGGUGCGUAGGCGGAGUGUUAAGUCUGCGGUAAAAGCCCGGGGCUAAACCCCGGCGUGCCGUUGAAACUGGCUGGCUUGAGAUGACGAGAGGUAUGCGGAAUGCGCAGUGUAGCGGUGAAAUGCGUAGAUAUUGCAAAGAACACCGAUUGCGAAGGCAGCAUACCGGCGGCGAUCUGACGCUGAGGCACGAAGGCGUGGGUAUCGAACAGGAUUAGAUACCCUAGUAGUC
RNAcentral lists this ribosomal RNA (439 nucleotides) under uncultured bacterium. RNAcentral describes it as "partial 16S ribosomal RNA". It matches the Rfam family "Bacterial small subunit ribosomal RNA", at positions 338 to 795 of the family's 1533-position model. The record is from RNAcentral.